This is a long non-coding RNA of Mauremys mutica (yellowpond turtle), 645 nucleotides long. RefSeq lists it as uncharacterized. The transcript has 3 exons. Lineage: Eukaryota; Metazoa; Chordata; Testudines; Geoemydidae. The record is from RefSeq and is a predicted model, not a curated record.
GGAACCCAGAGAGGGACAAAAGGAUUCCCACCUUAUGCAAAAGAUAUAUAAAGGGGUGGAACAGAACAAAGAGAGGAGUGGAGUCAUAAUGAAAAAUCCCCUAGCUAUCACCUGAGCUGGAAAAAGAGCUGUACCAAGGGGAAGAAUUGUGCCCAGCCUGGAAGAUGUCCAGUGUGAGGAAAAACUUACUGAAGCAUCUCUGAGGCUGGCUUGCCACAGGUGGCAGAGAAGGCAGACUGUGUUUCAAAUGGGAUGGAGACCAACAGUUGGAAGUACAACAUUGGUCCACGAAUAAUGAAGACAGGCAAAUAAGGCUUUUCAAGAGCUUCACUAGAAAUUUAACUGGCACAUAAUUUAAUGCAGGAAAGAAGAUUAUCUGUCUUCAUAACAAAGAGAAGUUGGGCAGUCUGACUGUUUUCUUUUGCUUACUUUAUAUCAUCAGAGAGCAUUUUUGACAAUAAAACUGUUAACAGUGUAGAUCAUACAGUCCCAAGGAUACAAACAAAGUGCCUGCCAAUUUGGGUAGAAGCCCAUCCUAUCUCUCUGAGUUUGGAAAUUUGACAUAUUUCUGAUUUCUCACAAUUUUGAAUUUGGAGCAGUUACCAUAUUUGUUUCUCUCAUCAAGCCGUGGUACUCAGGGGAAAA